This 253-nucleotide ribosomal RNA is filed under the name uncultured bacterium. Its description in RNAcentral is "partial 16S ribosomal RNA". It matches the Rfam family "Bacterial small subunit ribosomal RNA", at positions 524 to 776 of the family's 1533-position model. RNAcentral also lists the same sequence under 1 other name. The record is from RNAcentral.
UACGGAGGGGGCUAGCGUUGUUCGGAAUUACUGGGCGUAAAGCGUACGUAGGCGGCUUUGUAAGUUAGAGGUGAAAGCCUGAUGCUCAACAUCAGAAUUGCCUUUAAGACUGCAUCGCUUGAACGUCGGAGAGGUGAGUGGAAUUCCGAGUGUAGAGGUGAAAUUCGUAGAUAUUCGGAAGAACACCAGUGGCGAAGGCGGCUCACUGGACGACUGUUGACGCUGAGGUACGAAAGCGUGGGGAGCAAACAGG